Molecule: long non-coding RNA, 164 nt
Organism: Dipodomys spectabilis (banner-tailed kangaroo rat)
Lineage: Eukaryota; Metazoa; Chordata; Mammalia; Rodentia; Heteromyidae
Exons: 3
Source: RefSeq, a predicted model, not a curated record
CGGCCCCCGUAGAACACCACAAGACCCGCAAAGAGAAUCGGCGGUCAGGCCAUGCAUUUGGGAGAUGGUUUAAAGUUGGAAACUGAACUGCUGGAUGGAAAAACCAAGAUAAUAUUAUCUCUAUAUGAUGGGAAAUAAGAGCAAGAUUACAAAAUGUCCUUUAG